Long non-coding RNA from Dermacentor andersoni, 192 nucleotides. RefSeq lists it as uncharacterized. Lineage: Eukaryota; Metazoa; Arthropoda; Arachnida; Ixodida; Ixodidae. The record is from RefSeq and is a predicted model, not a curated record.
GCGGGCAGCAAGAAAGGCAGACGAGCCGCACCCAACAACAGAGCAGCAAGCCGGAGCAAGCCCAUAGCUCCUAAACAACCUGUACAAAGAUGUGUCUUUGCGAUACGGCGACGGGAGUGUUGAUACUGGGAAUUGCCUGCCUCUUCGCGAAUGUAGCUAUGGCUUCGUAUGAUUACUCUUCCCUGAAAUUUG